CCACAGCAGCCUCUGUGUGGGAUAGAUGCAGUGCUCUGUAGUAUAAAGCACUCUGUCAGUGAGCUGGACUCUCCAAACCAGCAGUCAUCGUCUAACAUCUGCCUUCUUCAGCUGUAACCGUGUGUUUCUCUUGUAAACUUGGCUCUGAUCAUAUGUGCUGUAAUAUUCCAGCUUUGCUUCCCGAUCGUGCUGCACAGUCUGCACAUGCUGGCCGGCUCCCCCAAGCUGAGAGCAGUGGGACUGCGCCUCAUGACCGCUCUGUGGAAAAAACAGGACCGGGUCUACCCAGAGCUGCAGCGUCUAAUGAGCCAGCAGGACAGCAGGGUGGUGCUGGGGAGGGACGCCCAGUGGGAGCAGAUCCUGGCCAGGGCCGCCUGUGUCAGGGACAUCUGCAGAGAGAGGCCUUACCAGCAUGCAGGG
Non-coding RNA from Maylandia zebra (zebra mbuna), 420 nucleotides. The record is from RefSeq and is a predicted model, not a curated record. Lineage: Eukaryota; Metazoa; Chordata; Actinopteri; Cichliformes; Cichlidae.